Molecule: ribosomal RNA, 434 nt
Filed under: uncultured bacterium
Lineage: Bacteria
Description: partial 16S ribosomal RNA
Rfam family: Bacterial small subunit ribosomal RNA
Source: RNAcentral
AGCGAACGCUGGCGGCAGGCCUAACACAUGCAAGUCGAACGAACCUUUCGGGGUUAGUGGCGGACGGGUGAGUAACACGUGGGAACGUGCCUUUAGGUUCGGAAUAACUCAGGGAAACUUGUGCUAAUACCGAAUGUGCCCUUCGGGGGAAAGAUUUAUCGCCUUUAGAGCGGCCCGCGUCUGAUUAGCUAGUUGGUUGAGGUAAUGGCUCACCAAGGCGACGAUCAGUAGCUGGUCUGAGAGGAUGAUCAGCCACAUUGGGACUGAGACACGGCCCAAACUCCUACGGGAGGCAGCAGUGGGGAAUCUUGCGCAAUGGGCGAAAGCCUGACGCAGCCAUGCCGCGUGAAUGAUGAAGGUCUUAGGAUUGUAAAAUUCCUUCACCGGGGACGAUAAUGACGGUACCCGGAGAAGAAGCCCCGGCUAACUUCGUG